CUCCCUCACGUGGAUUCGAUCUUACAGCUGAAGAUCUACAGACCUUACAGCACAGAGGCUUCUGCGCUUUAACCCGCAGCGCCACCACAUUCCCUACAAGUGUUCAUCCAUGUACAAAUAAAGAUGCCAUCAGCAGGAAGAAAUGAAUGCUAAUUUAUGCAUGCUCCACAGUUCCCUUGGCCUGAAGUAAGAUGAUGGGAAGCUUGUACUGUCCUGGCAACAGGUGAUGACACAGAUAAAACUUGAUAUAAAUACAAGCAUUUCCUCCUCUGAAACAUCUGCAGGCCAAUGGCAAGAGUGACAAUUAUACCAGAGAGCUCUUGACUCUGCUGUUUAUUAAUGAUGUGCAUUUGGAAAGGAUGGCAGUAAGUCAAGGGAUAGCUUCCAUGCAGGAAAUUCGCACAAUUCUAGAAUCUGGUAGUAAUCCCCAUUGAAUCCAAUUUAGCUCUGCUUUAUUGUUGGAGGUGGGGACCAGCAGAAAUCUCCACAGCUGUGUUAAUAUGUACAAAAAUGAACAGUGGGGGGAUAUUCAAGAAGUAGUACUGUUCGUUAUUAAUACUAGUUUCACGAUUUUUCACUCUGCUGAUCUUCUCACUCAGGACUACAGUAAGGAAAAUGUAGGUAUUUGUUUCAUACUUCAGGAACUGAGGCUCAAAGAAAGAAGGAAAGGACGAAUGAACAGAAAAAUGCUUAGGGCAUGUCAAGAUCUCAUACUGUAUAAGAUUUCAAGCAUCUUGGAACUAUUGUCUAAAAGGCUGGCUUACCAUGGUGAUGAGUGGCAGCAUGAAAUUUCUUUUGCCCAAGCAGAGAAAUGGAAAGGGACACAUUUUGCUAAAGUAUUUUCAAAGAAUUUACACAUACUAGUUUUUCCUACUAAAUUCUGCAGCUACUGUGUGAUGAGAAGUAUUUGGAAGUGUAUUCUGAAGAUAUUCUUUGCAUCAUUAGCACUAUCUGGGCAUUAAUGAAUCUAGCUUCCUCUGCACGCUUACAGGUGAGCUCCUAGCCCUUCCCUUCCCUUUAUGCUUUCCUCAUAAAAUGUUAGAAAAAUCUGAAGGGAAAUUCCUGCUCACCUGUAGGCUCUACUUGUGAGCAAGAAGUUGGAUCAGUCAUAGGAACUUUUCCUCUUCUAAUUAUUCCGUCAUCACCAAGAUGACACAGGAGGCUGGGCUAGGAGCUCCCUUCUAAAUACACUGAGAAAAUUAGAUUCAUCAACACUACUCUACAUAUCGUGCCACCCAAAAAAAUUUAAGCUGCCCACUGAACGUUUUGUGUUGACAUUGGAGAAAUACUAUAUCUUUCAAUGUGGAGUGUCUUCCAGCCAUUAGUUGAAGGGGUUUAUGUAUUCAUACCUCUUGAACUAUUUUCAGUUCAUUCUGUAUUCACUGUACCUGCAUAUUGUCUUUGUAUAUUGCUUGUUCAUCUUUUUGUGGUGGAGAGCUGCUUUUGUUCUGAACCUAGACUGAAAUUGCAGCCCUAUUGCAAAACAACCACAACUGCUUUUGCAUCACCUAGCUUUGUUUAGAAAGCAUUAUGUUGUCUUGUCUCCUGCAUCUAAUGUACAUAUACGUAGUUUCCUUUUAACAACACAGGUUGACUUGUGCCAGUUUUGCAAAACUUACAUGGACCUUUUUCAGUUCCUUAUUAAAUCAUCAGUACUUAAGCCGUAUUGGAAAAUGGAGAUCUUGGGAGAAAGCAGCA
Molecule: long non-coding RNA, 1698 nt
Organism: Pogona vitticeps (central bearded dragon)
Lineage: Eukaryota; Metazoa; Chordata; Lepidosauria; Squamata; Agamidae
Source: Ensembl